Amborella trichopoda is the source of this 1029-nucleotide long non-coding RNA. RefSeq lists it as uncharacterized. The record is from RefSeq and is a predicted model, not a curated record. Lineage: Eukaryota; Viridiplantae; Streptophyta; Magnoliopsida; Amborellales; Amborellaceae.
CAGAGAAACUCAAGGGUGUCCCUGGGCAGGCAAGUUUCAGGGAAAAUUGCACCCUCUCACCAAGAAAGGCCCUAAAACACCAGCCACUGAGCUAUAUCUUUGAUGCCCUUAAUCCCGAACAGAAGAAAUGGGAACCACGCCAGCCACUGAGCUAUAUCUUUGAUGCCCUUAAUCCCGAACAGAGGAAAUGAGAACCACGCCAGCCACUGAGCUCUUUGUGACCUCCGCUCGAUUUACCACCCAAUGGCCCACUCUGCUCCAUCUCCAACAAAAAUCACAGGUGGGAAGGUUAUGCAGCAGACUCUAGAAUUCUAGGUGAUGUUAUUGAGCAGGACAAGCAUCUAUUAGCAGUGUCUCAAGGGAAAUAUGACCUUGUGGAUGCGGGGUACCCUAUUACUCAUGGAUUCAUUACCCAUAUCGUUGUGCACAGUACCACCUUAGUGAGACCCAGGGAAGGAGAUCUUCGAGGAAGUUAGAAGAGCUAUUCAAUCAUAGGCAUUUGUCAUUAAGAAAUGUUGUGGAGUACACAUUUGAAGUCUGGAAAGCGAGGUUUCUCAUUUUGAGGUCCCAAUUUCAAUAUCGAAUUACGACACAGGUUAAGAUUGUAAAUGCAACUUGUAUUUUGCACAAUUAUAUGUGAAUGAGAACAACACAAAGCUCUAUUCAAGAUGGAGCAUUUCAAUAUCAAGUUCUUAGACAAGUGAGGAGAGAUCUUGAGUUGCGCGCAAGCGAUGAAGAGGAAGAAGAAAAUGAAUCUAAAAGUGAUGAACUUGAUGAGCAUCAUUCUCAAAGUAGGUAUGCCCAUAAUUUUGGGGAACAAUGGAAGGAGCAAAUUAUGGCACAAACGUAGGAAUGAUAUCGAAGACAAAAUUGUUAGUGUAUCCACAUAUGUAUGUGCCGUUAAAUUUGUUAUCUCUCUCUCUCGCUCUCUUCAAGUGAUAACUUUCGUGUUACUAUUUUAAAGGAGGCCAACUUAUCUUUUGUCACAUACUGGUGUGAUGGCCAAAUGAAAUGGUUAGCUUUGAAACU